Molecule: ribosomal RNA, 379 nt
Filed under: uncultured bacterium
Lineage: Bacteria
Description: bacterial SSU rRNA
Rfam family: Bacterial small subunit ribosomal RNA
Source: RNAcentral
UAAUACGGAAGGAGCGAGCAUUGUCCGGAUUUACUAGGCGUAAAGGGCUAGUAGGCGACUAAUUAAGUUAUAUGUUAAAUCCCACGGCUCAACUGUGGUCCUGCAUGUAAUACUGGUUAGAUAGAGUACUGUAGAGGAAGGCAGAAUUCCUGGAGUAGCGGUGGAAUGCGCAGAUAUCAGGAAGAAUACCAAAAGCGAAGGCAGCCUUCUGGGCAGUUACUGACGCUGAAUAGCGAAGGUGUGGGUAGCAAACAGGAUUAGAUACCCUGGUAGUCCACACAGUAAACGAUGAUCACUAGAUGUUGGUGAGUAAAAAAAAUCAUCAGUGUCGAAGUUAACGCAUUAAGUGAUUCGCCUGGGGAGUACGGUCGCAAGAUUG